GGCAGGCUUGUUGCCAGGGGGUGCGGCAUGGCAACACCUGACUGCCAAUCAGGUUACAGGAGAGCAGUCUCCACCAAUGGGCAGUGAAGAAGAGUUGAUUGGCAACCUCUGGGCAGGGCCAGGACUGCCUGAGGCAACCCCCAGGGGUAUAAAAGGCAGGGCAGCCUUUUUGUGGGUGAGCACAUGGUGUAUUAGCUCCGUGCUCCCCGUGCUGUAACUUUUUCUUAUUCAUACUUUGUUGUGUUUUUGUAAGGUUUAAUAAACCUUUGAAAUUUUAAAAGAAGGAGGUCGUUUCUCAUACGGGCCUUCCAGUUUUUCAGCCCUGGCAUUAGUGCAGCUGUGAGGAAGAUGGACAUGGAGGUGUACUGCAAUUCUUCCACCAGAUAAUAAGCCACUGACAGAUAAUCAGUCAGGUCUGGACCUGCCAACUGUCUGAAGCUCUGUAUGCAAAGUGUUCUGCAGUUCAAGCCAGCAUUGUUACAUUGGUUCAGAAGAUGGAAUGGUAAAAUAAAAAACACUGAAAUGUUUAAAUUCCUACAUUUUUAUUUGCAAGAAGAGUCACAAGGGAUCAAGACACACACUGUAGCUCCUGAACAGGCAACAGAUAGAUGCCAUAACCAGAUUCUGCUCACUCUGAAGCUUCAUGUGGAAAUGCUGCAUCCUUCUUCAUGCAAAAGAGCCUGGCUUCCUGGAAAGGCCAAAGAGAGCAACAUUAGAGAAAAUACUAACCCUACGAACAUGAGGAUAAUGCCACUUACAAAAGUAACUCCAUUAAUGCAUGAAGGUGUCUGAAAGUUGAGGCUAUAAGACAGCAGUGAAUUUAAUGCCAGAUAUUUAGAGGAGGCAGGGGAGCAGUCUUAAGUAUUUUCUUCACUUGAUAGAACUAUCAGGUAUAAAAAACAGUAACAAAACCAACAAAAACCAAAGAAACAUUCCCCUUCCUCCCCCCACGAAAAAAGCCCCAAAACAACCAAAUCAAGAAAUAAAGGUUAUGUCUCAGUAGUUUUAACCUGGUUC
RNAcentral lists this long non-coding RNA (1017 nucleotides) under Cyanistes caeruleus (blue tit). Its description in RNAcentral is "lncRNA (ENSCCEG00000009988.1)". Lineage: Eukaryota; Metazoa; Chordata; Aves; Passeriformes; Paridae. The record is from RNAcentral.